UACGUAGGGGGCAAGCGUUGUCCGGAAUCAUUGGGCGUAAAGCGCGUGUAGGCGGCUUGGUAAGUCUGCUCUGAAAGCCCGGGGCUCAACCCCGGGAGGCGGGUGGAUACUGUCAAGCUCGAGUCCGGAAGAGGAGUGUGGAAUUCCUGGUGUAGCGGUGAAAUGCGCAGAUAUCAGGAAGAACACCGGUGGCGAAGGCGGCUCUCUGGGCCUUACCUGACGCUGAGGAGCGAAAGCGUGGGUAGCGAACAGG
This 253-nucleotide ribosomal RNA is filed under the name uncultured bacterium. RNAcentral describes it as "partial 16S ribosomal RNA". It matches the Rfam family "Bacterial small subunit ribosomal RNA", at positions 524 to 776 of the family's 1533-position model. The record is from RNAcentral.